GGCCGUAGCGCGGUGGUCCCACCUGACCCCAUGCCGAACUCAGAAGUGAAACGCCGUAGCGCCGAUGGUAGUGUGGGGUCUCCCCAUGCGAGAGUAGGGAACUGCCAGGC
RNAcentral lists this ribosomal RNA (110 nucleotides) under Escherichia coli. RNAcentral also lists the same sequence under 13 other names. The record is from RNAcentral. Lineage: Bacteria; Pseudomonadati; Pseudomonadota; Gammaproteobacteria; Enterobacterales; Enterobacteriaceae.